GGCGUUAAGUUGCAGGGUAUAGACCCGAAACCCGGUGAUCUAGCCAUGGGCAGGUUGAAGGUUGGGUAACACUAACUGGAGGACCGAACCGACUAAUGUUGAAAAAUUAGCGGAUGACCUGUGGCUGGGGGUGAAAGGCCAAUCAAACCGGGAGAUAGCUGGUUCUCCCCGAAAGCUAUUUAGGUAGCGCCUCGUGAAUUCAUCUCCGGGGGUAGAGCACUGUUUCGGCUAGGGGGCCAUCCCGGCUUACCAACCCGAUGCAAACUGCGAAUACCGGAGAAUGUUAUCACGGGAGACAC
This 299-nucleotide ribosomal RNA is filed under the name Salmonella enterica subsp. enterica serovar Newport. Its description in RNAcentral is "partial 23S ribosomal RNA". It matches the Rfam family "Bacterial large subunit ribosomal RNA", at positions 691 to 987 of the family's 2925-position model. The record is from RNAcentral. Lineage: Bacteria; Pseudomonadati; Pseudomonadota; Gammaproteobacteria; Enterobacterales; Enterobacteriaceae.